RNAcentral lists this ribosomal RNA (409 nucleotides) under Acanthamoeba sp. Its description in RNAcentral is "SSU rRNA". It matches the Rfam family "Eukaryotic small subunit ribosomal RNA", at positions 751 to 1101 of the family's 1831-position model. The record is from RNAcentral. Lineage: Eukaryota; Discosea; Longamoebia; Acanthamoebidae.
UUUACCGUGAAAAAAUUAGAGUGUUCAAAGCAGGCAGAUCCAAUUUUCUGCCACCGAAUACAUUAGCAUGGGAUAAUGGAAUAGGACCCUGUCCUCCUAUUUUCAGUUGGUUUUGGCAGCGCGAGGACUAGGGUAAUGAUUAAUAGGGAUAGUUGGGGGCAUUAAUAUUUAAUUGUCAGAGGUGAAAUUCUUGGAUUUAUGAAAGAUUAACUUCUGCGAAAGCAUCUGCCAAGGAUGUUUUCAUUAAUCAAGAACGAAAGUUAGGGGAUCGAAGACGAUCAGAUACCGUCGUAGUCUUAACCAUAAACGAUGCCGACCAGCGAUUAGGAGACGUUGAAUACAAAACACCACCAUCGGCGCGGUCGUCCUUGGCGUCUGUCCCUUUCAACGGGGGCAGGCGCGAGGGCGG